RNAcentral lists this ribosomal RNA (490 nucleotides) under uncultured bacterium. RNAcentral describes it as "partial 16S ribosomal RNA". It matches the Rfam family "Bacterial small subunit ribosomal RNA", at positions 30 to 507 of the family's 1533-position model. The record is from RNAcentral.
AUUGAACGCUGGCGGCAGGCCUAACACAUGCAAGUCGAACGGUAACAGGAAGAGGCUUGCUUCUUUGCUGACGAGUGGCGGGCGGGUGAGAAAUGUCUGGGAAACUGCUUGAUGGCGGGGGAUAACUACUGGAAACGGUACCUAAUACCGCAUAACGUCGCAAGCCCAAAGAGGGGGACCUUCGGGCCGCUUGCCAUCGGCUGUGCCCAGAUGGGAUUAGCUAGUAGGUGGGGUAACGGCUCACCUAGGCGACGAUCCCUAGCUGGUCUGAGAGGAUGACCAGCCACACUGGAACUGAGACACGGUCCAGACUCCUACGGGAGGCAGCAGUGGGGAAUAUUGCACAAUGGGCGCAAGCCUGAUGCAGCCAUGCCGCGUGUAUGAAGAAGGCCUUCGGGUUGUAAAGUACUUUCAGCGGGGAGGAAGGGAGUAAAGUUAAUACCUUUACUCAUUGACGUUACCCGAAGAAGAAGCACCGGCUAACUCCGUG